UACGGAGGGAGCUAGCGUUGUUCGGAAAUACUGGGCGUAAAGCGCACGUAGGCGGCGCGGCAAGUCAGGGGUGAAAUCCCGGGGCUCAACCCCGGAACUGCCCUUGAAACUGCAGUGCUAGAAUCUUGGAGAGGCGAGUGGAAUUCCGAGUGUAGAGGUGAAAUUCGUAGAUAUUCGCAAGAACACCAGUGGCGAAGGCGGCUCACUGGCCCGGUACUGACGCUGAGGUGCGAAAGCGUGGGGAGCAAACAGG
RNAcentral lists this ribosomal RNA (253 nucleotides) under uncultured bacterium. Its description in RNAcentral is "partial 16S ribosomal RNA". It matches the Rfam family "Bacterial small subunit ribosomal RNA", at positions 524 to 776 of the family's 1533-position model. The record is from RNAcentral.